This 1401-nucleotide ribosomal RNA is filed under the name Triticum aestivum (bread wheat). Its description in RNAcentral is "partial small subunit ribosomal RNA". The record is from RNAcentral. Lineage: Eukaryota; Viridiplantae; Streptophyta; Magnoliopsida; Poales; Poaceae.
AUGGCGACGGAGGCGGCGCCGGAGUGGCUGGAGAAGGGCGACAACGCGUGGCAGCUGGCGGCGGCGGCGCUGGUGGGGCUGCAGAGCGUGCCGGGCCUGGUCAUCCUCUACGGCAGCAUCGUCAAGAAGAAGUGGGCCGUCAACUCCGCCCUCAUGGCGCUCUACGCCUUCGCCGCCACCAUGCUCUGCUGGUGCCUCUGGGGCUUCCGCAUGUCCUUCGGCGACCGCCUCCUCCCCUUCGUCGGCCGCCCCGACUUCGCUGGCCUCGACGCCGCCGGCUUCCUUUCCGCCCAGGGCUUCGCCGGCGCCUACCCGGCCGCCACGCUCCUCUUCUUCCAGUUCGUCUUCGCCGCCAUCACGCUCAUCCUCGUCGCCGGCUCGCUCCUGGGACGGAUGAACUUCCGGGCAUGGAUGAUCUUCGUGCCCCUCUGGCUCACCUUCUCCUACACCGUCGGCGCCUUCAGCAUCUGGAGCCCCAACGGGUUCCUCUUCAAGGCCGGCGUCAUGGACUUCGCCGGCGGCUACGUCAUCCACCUCUCCUCCGGCAUCGCCGGCUUCACCGCCGCCUUCUGGGUCGGCCCGAGGACGGCCAAGGACAGGGAGGCCUUCCCGCCCAACAACAUCCUCCUGACUCUCGCCGGCGCGGGGCUGCUGUGGAUGGGGUGGACGGGGUUCAACGGCGGCGCGCCCUACGCCGCCAACAUCGACGCGUCCGUCGCCGUCGUCAACACGCACCUCUGCACGGCCACGAGCCUCCUGGUGUGGCUCAUCCUCGACUGCUUCGUCUUCGGCCGCCCCUCGGCCUUCGGCGCCGUCCAGGGCAUGAUCACCGGCCUCGUCUGCAUCACCCCGGCCGCCGGGCUGGUGCAGGGCUGGGCGGCGAUGCUGAUGGGGCUCGUCUCCGGGAGCGUGCCGUGGUUCACCAUGAUGGUGCUGCACAAGCGGUGCCGGGUCCUGAGGCACGUGGACGACACGCUCGCCAUCCUCCACACGCACGGGGUGGCCGGCAGCCUCGGCGGCCUCAUGACGGGCCUCCUGGCCGAGCCGCGGCUCUGCCGGCUCUUCUUCGGCGACGACCCGCGGUACGUGGGCUUCGUGUACGCGGUCAGGGGCGGGCGCGUCUCCGCGGGGUUUCGGCAGAUGGGCGUGCAGCUGGCCGGGAUCGGAUUCAUCGUGGCGCUAAACGUCGUCGUCACCAGCAUCGUGUGCCUGCUCGUCCGGGUGGCCGUGCCGCUCCGGCUCAGCGAGGAGCAGCUGGCGGCCGGCGACGACGCCAUACACGGCGAGGACGCGUACGCGGUGUGGGGCGACGGCGAGACGUACGAGCAGUCCGUGCAUGGCAGCCGGCGAUACCAAAUGACGGCCAAUCCCAUGUCGUCCAAGGUUGAUGAGAUCAUCUGA